CGUUUCCUCGGCGGGCUUGCCUGCCGGUUGGACAACUUUAUAACCUUUUUAAAUCUUCAAUCAGCGUCUGAAUAAUAUACAAUAAUUACAACUUUCAACAACGGAUCUCUUGGUUCUGGCAUCGAUGAAGAACGCAGCGAAAUGCGAUAAGUAGUGUGAAUUGCAGAAUUCAGUGAAUCAUCGAAUCUUUGAACGCACAUUGCGCCCCUUGGUAUUCCAUGGGGCAUGCCUGUUCGAGCGUCAUUUGUACCUUCAAGCUUUGCUUGGUGUUGGGUGCUUGUCUUUUUGUUAAGACUCACCUCAAAGUCAUUGGCAGCCAGUGUUUUGGUAGUAAGCGCAGCACAUUUUGCGUCUUGGUUCCCUCAACAGCGGCAUCCAUCAAGCUAUUUUCUCACUUUUGACCUCGGAUCAGGUAGGGAUACCCGCUGAACUUAAGCAUAUCAAUAAGCGGAGGAAAAGAAACCAACAGGGAUUGCCCUAGUAACGGCGAGUGAAGCGGCAACAGCUCAAAUUUGAAAUCUGGCUCUUUCAGGGUCCGAGUUGUAAUUUGCAGAGGGCGCUUUGGCGUUGGCAGCGGUCCAAGUUCUUUGGAACAGGACGUCACAGAGGGUGAGAAUCCCGUACGUGGUCGCUAGCCUUCGCCGUGUAAAGCCCCUUCGACGAGUCGAGUUGUUUGGGAAUGCAGCUCUAAAUGGGAGGUAAAUUUCUUCUAAAGCUAAAUACUGGCCAGAGACCGAUAGCGCACAAGUAGAGUGAUCGAAAGAUGAAAAGCACUUUGGAAAGAGAGUCAAAUAGCACGUGAAAUUGUUGAAAGGGAAGCGCUUGCAGCCAGACUUGCCUGUAGUUGCUUAUCUGGACUUUUGUCCGGUGCACUCUUCUGCGGGCAGGCCAGCAUCAGUUUGGGCGGUUGGAUAAAGGUCUCUGUCAUGU
Molecule: ribosomal RNA, 930 nt
Filed under: fungal sp.
Lineage: Eukaryota; Fungi
Description: eukaryotic LSU rRNA
Rfam family: Eukaryotic large subunit ribosomal RNA (bases 399-930)
Source: RNAcentral